AUGCCUGAUUACGAAAAUAUAUCCGUGAUGACUGACGAGAAGAAUCCCCAGGCUUCAGCAGAAAUGCCUCCCUCAUACCCAGCCCCUACAGCUCCCUCCACCCUGCAGCUGGCUAAAGGGAGAACCCGGGAGCAGAAACACAUGUUGAUGCUGUACUUCCUGAUGGCCAUUUGCUUUCUCAUGUGGAUUGUUCUCCUCUCACUCACAGUUGUGAACGACCAGAAGAUAACUGGGGAAUUAAAGAGGAUAAACACAUCCCUUUCCCACAGGAUAAACCAAGUGUCUAAGGAGGUGAAAGAAGCCCAGGUACAGCUAGGAAAGGCAUUGGCAAAACAGAAGGCAGCGGAGGCAGGUAAGAACAGCUAAGGAGGUGUUUCCUGGCUCUCUCCCCUCCCGGCCACUGGGCUGCACCUUGGUAGGGGGGUCAAAUCGGGGGCAGGUGGGUGCUUCCAGGAUGGGGGUUGAGGGUCUCUAGGGCCAGGAGUCUUACCCCCUAUCCCAUCACCCUACAGCUGCAGAACCUGCCCCAUCAUAGCACAUCCUCCCCGUGCAAACUGCCUCUCAGGUGCCAUUUCCCAGCCACCCAGACUGGACAAGAGUCUGCUCCCCAGCUGGACGCUGAGGGUGGGCGCAGAGCACAGGCAGGGCUAGCAGAGGGUGGUGUAGCCCAGGCAGGCAGCAGGAGAUGGGGGGGGAUGUUUCCAGGGGCUCCUAAGGGCUCCACAAACCUGAUGCGGGGCUUGGGCAGAUGGCAACAAUACCAGAGUUUAGUUCAGCCCCAAAAGACUAAUCCUUAGCAAGCAGGGAAACUGAGGCACAGGGCAAUUGAAUUGAUCCUCCCAGGAUCAAUGGCAGAGGUGGG
Molecule: long non-coding RNA, 862 nt
Filed under: Gopherus agassizii (Agassiz's desert tortoise)
Lineage: Eukaryota; Metazoa; Chordata; Testudines; Testudinidae
Description: lncRNA (ENSGAGG00000017108.1)
Source: RNAcentral